Molecule: ribosomal RNA, 2901 nt
Filed under: Escherichia coli
Lineage: Bacteria; Pseudomonadati; Pseudomonadota; Gammaproteobacteria; Enterobacterales; Enterobacteriaceae
Description: 23S ribosomal RNA
Rfam family: Bacterial large subunit ribosomal RNA
Source: RNAcentral
UUAAGCGACUAAGCGUACACGGUGGAUGCCCUGGCAGUCAGAGGCGAUGAAGGACGUGCUAAUCUGCGAUAAGCGUCGGUAAGGUGAUAUGAACCGUUAUAACCGGCGAUUUCCGAAUGGGGAAACCCAGUGUGUUUCGACACACUAUCAUUAACUGAAUCCAUAGGUUAAUGAGGCGAACCGGGGGAACUGAAACAUCUAAGUACCCCGAGGAAAAGAAAUCAACCGAGAUUCCCCCAGUAGCGGCGAGCGAACGGGGAGCAGCCCAGAGCCUGAAUCAGUGUGUGUGUUAGUGGAAGCGUCUGGAAAGGCGCGCGAUACAGGGUGACAGCCCCGUACACAAAAAUGCACAUAUUGUGAGCUCGAUGAGUAGGGCGGGACACGUGGUAUCCUGUCUGAAUAUGGGGGGACCAUCCUCCAAGGCUAAAUACUCCUGACUGACCGAUAGUGAACCAGUACCGUGAGGGAAAGGCGAAAAGAACCCCGGCGAGGGGAGUGAAAAAGAACCUGAAACCGUGUACGUACAAGCAGUGGGAGCCUCUUUUAUGGGGUGACUGCGUACCUUUUGUAUAAUGGGUCAGCGACUUAUAUUCUGUAGCAAGGUUAACCGAAUAGGGGAGCCGAAGGGAAACCGAGUCUUAACUGGGCGUUAAGUUGCAGGGUAUAGACCCGAAACCCGGUGAUCUAGCCAUGGGCAGGUUGAAGGUUGGGUAACACUAACUGGAGGACCGAACCGACUAAUGUUGAAAAAUUAGCGGAUGACUUGUGGCUGGGGGUGAAAGGCCAAUCAAACCGGGAGAUAGCUGGUUCUCCCCGAAAGCUAUUUAGGUAGCGCCUCGUGAAUUCAUCUCCGGGGGUAGAGCACUGUUUCGGCAAGGGGGUCAUCCCGACUUACCAACCCGAUGCAAACUGCGAAUACCGGAGAAUGUUAUCACGGGAGACACACGGCGGGUGCUAACGUCCGUCGUGAAGAGGGAAACAACCCAGACCGCCAGCUAAGGUCCCAAAGUCAUGGUUAAGUGGGAAACGAUGUGGGAAGGCCCAGACAGCCAGGAUGUUGGCUUAGAAGCAGCCAUCAUUUAAAGAAAGCGUAAUAGCUCACUGGUCGAGUCGGCCUGCGCGGAAGAUGUAACGGGGCUAAACCAUGCACCGAAGCUGCGGCAGCGACGCUUAUGCGUUGUUGGGUAGGGGAGCGUUCUGUAAGCCUGUGAAGGUGUACUGUGAGGUAUGCUGGAGGUAUCAGAAGUGCGAAUGCUGACAUAAGUAACGAUAAAGCGGGUGAAAAGCCCGCUCGCCGGAAGACCAAGGGUUCCUGUCCAACGUUAAUCGGGGCAGGGUGAGUCGACCCCUAAGGCGAGGCCGAAAGGCGUAGUCGAUGGGAAACAGGUUAAUAUUCCUGUACUUGGUGUUACUGCGAAGGGGGGACGGAGAAGGCUAUGUUGGCCGGGCGACGGUUGUCCCGGUUUAAGCGUGUAGGCUGGUUUUCCAGGCAAAUCCGGAAAAUCAAGGCUGAGGCGUGAUGACGAGGCACUACGGUGCUGAAGCAACAAAUGCCCUGCUUCCAGGAAAAGCCUCUAAGCAUCAGGUAACAUCAAAUCGUACCCCAAACCGACACAGGUGGUCAGGUAGAGAAUACCAAGGCGCUUGAGAGAACUCGGGUGAAGGAACUAGGCAAAAUGGUGCCGUAACUUCGGGAGAAGGCACGCUGAUAUGUAGGUGAAGCGACUUGCUCGUGGAGCUGAAAUCAGUCGAAGAUACCAGCUGGCUGCAACUGUUUAUUAAAAACACAGCACUGUGCAAACACGAAAGUGGACGUAUACGGUGUGACGCCUGCCCGGUGCCGGAAGGUUAAUUGAUGGGGUCAGCGCAAGCGAAGCUCUUGAUCGAAGCCCCGGUAAACGGCGGCCGUAACUAUAACGGUCCUAAGGUAGCGAAAUUCCUUGUCGGGUAAGUUCCGACCUGCACGAAUGGCGUAAUGAUGGCCAGGCUGUCUCCACCCGAGACUCAGUGAAAUUGAACUCGCUGUGAAGAUGCAGUGUACCCGCGGCAAGACGGAAAGACCCCGUGAACCUUUACUAUAGCUUGACACUGAACAUUGAGCCUUGAUGUGUAGGAUAGGUGGGAGGCUUUGAAGUGUGGACGCCAGUCUGCAUGGAGCCGACCUUGAAAUACCACCCUUUAAUGUUUGAUGUUCUAACGUUGACCCGUGAUCCGGGUUGCGGACAGUGUCUGGUGGGUAGUUUGACUGGGGCGGUCUCCUCCUAAAGAGUAACGGAGGAGCACGAAGGUUGGCUAAUCCUGGUCGGACAUCAGGAGGUUAGUGCAAUGGCAUAAGCCAGCUUGACUGCGAGCGUGACGGCGCGAGCAGGUGCGAAAGCAGGUCAUAGUGAUCCGGUGGUUCUGAAUGGAAGGGCCAUCGCUCAACGGAUAAAAGGUACUCCGGGGAUAACAGGCUGAUACCGCCCAAGAGUUCAUAUCGACGGCGGUGUUUGGCACCUCGAUGUCGGCUCAUCACAUCCUGGGGCUGAAGUAGGUCCCAAGGGUAUGGCUGUUCGCCAUUUAAAGUGGUACGCGAGCUGGGUUUAGAACGUCGUGAGACAGUUCGGUCCCUAUCUGCCGUGGGCGCUGGAGAACUGAGGGGGGCUGCUCCUAGUACGAGAGGACCGGAGUGGACGCAUCACUGGUGUUCGGGUUGUCAUGCCAAUGGCACUGCCCGGUAGCUAAAUGCGGAAGAGAUAAGUGCUGAAAGCAUCUAAGCACGAAACUUGCCCCGAGAUGAGUUCUCCCUGACUCCUUGAGAGUCCUGAAGGAACGUUGAAGACGACGACGUUGAUAGGCCGGGUGUGUAAGCGCAGCGAUGCGUUGAGCUAACCGGUACUAAUGAACCGUGAGGCUUAACCU